GAUGUCGUGGCCGAGUGGUUAAGGCAAUGGAAUAUAAAUUUUUUGGGAUCUUCCCGCGCAGGUUCGAAUCCUGCCGACAUCG
This 82-nucleotide transfer RNA is filed under the name Dreissena polymorpha. RNAcentral describes it as "transfer RNA tyrosine (anticodon AUA)". It matches the Rfam family "tRNA". Rfam says of the family: Transfer RNA (tRNA) molecules are approximately 80 nucleotides in length. Lineage: Eukaryota; Metazoa; Mollusca; Bivalvia; Myida; Dreissenidae. The record is from Rfam by way of RNAcentral.